CUUUGGGAGACAGAUCAAAACUAAUUUUGAAGCUGGGUGUGGUGGUGCACGCCUAUAAUCCCGGUGUCUUUGGAGGCUGAGGCAGGAGAAAGGCGAAUUCAAAGCUAGUCUCAGCAAAAGCGAGGAAGGGGAAGCAAGUCUGUGAGAUCCUGUCUCUAAAUAAAAUAUAAAAUAAGGCUGGGGAUGUAGCUCAGUGAACGAGUGCCCUGAGUUCAACCCCUGGUACCCACCCCCCCAAAAAAAAGCUGGUUAUGAACAAGUCAGAAGAGAUCCCUUUUGCUUUUGUGCCCUCCCUCACACUUCACUCUAUGACUAUAGCUGAUCCUGCCCCAUUCAGAUCCGACUUGCAGGGUAGUGCUCCUACCCUAUGUGUAACAGAUUUGGCUACUAAUGGCUCAUCCCAAGCUAUUUUUGUAAGGAUGUCCUUUAGUAGGAGCAGCCUUACCAGGAGAUAUCUGGAAAAUGAUGCCCCCUCUUCUGGGGGUGGUUUGAGAGUAGGGUCUAACUGGGAGUGUGGGGAGUGUGGUUGGUGCGUGAACAGUCUAAUCUUCUUGCUUCUGCACAGAAAAACCUGUGCUGAGGAUUACAACCAUUUCAAUUCAAUGAGACAGCAUAAAAUAAGGCUGUUUUAUUGGCUGGCAUAUAGAAAUAUUAAAUAUAAUAGUAGAGGAAAUUGUUAACCAAUAAGCUGACUAUUGAAAUAGUAUCAAUGCAUCAAUGUCGAAUAUAGACUUCAACUUCAUGAAAUAUUUCUGAUCCCACAAAAACAGAUGCCUUGCUCCAUCUUGUAAUAUAGGGUAUGGCAUCUCUCUCUGCUAGCUAUGUACUCACCUGGAACUAGCACAUGGACUUGUCUUCCUUGGAUCGCUACCUCCUGGCACCUCGCAUAGUGUCUGGCCAGAUGGAAAGUAGCUUCAAGAGUUAGUAGAAAGAACUUAUUUGUGGAUUGAAUGAUAACUCUAGUCUAGCUGUCAAUCUAAUGUGAAAAUCCUGUCCACCCCCUCCCAGUCUCAGGACCUUGCCUCUUCCUGGGAAUACUUUUUCUGACCCAGGUACUUGUAGGUGCUUUACAACAUGCUCUCUUAUUCAGUACUCACAAAACUCCUGGGGAAAUAAUCCAUCCAAAUUCCAUAUAGUUGCUUAUCAUACUGCUAGCAAAUAGUGCAAUACUUGGCAUAGAGUUACAAAUAUUUAUUAACUAAGUAAAUCAUCCAAAUGACCAAUUUCUUUCCGCCAUGCCAUACUUUGCAGUCUCCUCUUAAAUAUAUAGCUAAUGGAUAGUUCAGUGUUUUCUAAGACAACCCAUUUAUCACCAAAGUGGGCUACUGAAAUUCAGACUUCCUGUACUGAAGCCUACAUCCCCCUCACUUCCUUCCAUGGAUCUCAGCUCUGCAACCAGUUGUCAUGAGAAAUAUAUCUUUUAUCACUUUCUCAUGUUAGUUUCUCACUGACCUUGGAUUAGGAAGACCUGGAUUUAGAAGUUUAGCUUGUUAUGGUUUGGAUGUGAAGUGUCCCCCAUAAGCUCUGGGUGAGAAAAUGCAAGAAGGUUUAGAGGAGAAAUGAUUGAAUUAUGAGUCUUUGCACAGUCCUUGAAAUAAUCCCACUGACUGGAUUAACUGAGUAGUAACUGAAGGUGGGUAGGGUGAGGCUGGAGAAAGUGGGAGCUGGGAUCCUGGAUUUGGGGUGUAUAUUUUAAUGUCUGGAGAGUGGAGUCUCUCUGCUUCUGAUCAUCAUGCAAGCUAUCUCCCGCCACCACAUUUUUCUGCCACGUUGUUCUGCCUCACCUCCAGCCGCAAGGAAUGGGGCCAGCUAUCUAUAGACUGUGACCUCUGAAACUGAGCCCCUGAAUAAACUUUUCCUCCUCUACAAUUGACCUAGUUGGGUGUUUUAGUCACAGCAGUGGAAAAGCUGACUGGAAUGGAGUUCAACCUUUUUCAUGGCCACAUGAACUUGGACAGUUUAUGAACUUCUCUGAACUUUUAGUACCUUUCUGGAAAACUGGAGUAAUAACUCCUUUCAUUCAAAAAUCCUUUGAGUCCAAAUAUGGAUCAUGGACAAGGUUCAAGUAUAAGAGAUCAUCAUUUUAUAAACUCUCUUCUGCUGUGCUGUAACU
RNAcentral lists this long non-coding RNA (2113 nucleotides) under Marmota monax (woodchuck). The record is from RNAcentral. Lineage: Eukaryota; Metazoa; Chordata; Mammalia; Rodentia; Sciuridae.